ACUGGGUCUCCUUCCAGCAUGCUGCCUUCCUCCCCUUGGCACAUGGAGGAAGCCUGCUUCUCAGGCAUGGAGUAGGUGUUUCGAAGAGGACUGUUUGGAUCUUUUGCAGAUUGUCCCUCAACUUGGGUUUGUCUGUCAACCUGAGUUUUUCUCAUGAUCAGACUGAGUUUUGUGUUUGGGAAAGCACACCACAGAGAUGAAACGUCCUUCUCUUCAACAUGGCAUCGGAGGGGCUUCAUCUCCACCUGACGCAUCACUGGUGCUGUUCACCUCCAUCUCCUGCUUAACAAAGUGUCUUUGGGGCUUCUCCACUGUAAUAGAAUUCAAGUGUUGCUGGCACAUAGCUGCCGGGGAAGGAUUAUGUGUCCCAGCCUCCAGCACAUGGGCAUGUGACCAACUGCUGGCCAGUGGGGUAUGGAUGGAAGAAAUGUCUCCAGCGUCUGAACUAAGCCACUGUCUCUUGGAUGGCUCUAAACUGCAAUUCUAAGGAGGAUCAUCUUAAAUGUAUGAAACAAUUUCUAAAUUUGGAACACACGAACCAAUUCGGGGCAUGGGAAUUAGUCUGCAUUCCGGAUCAAUUAGGGAAAUAGUUUGCAGUCACUACGACAUUUUGAAACACGUCAAAUGAGAAGGAGAAACCAACUGUUGUAUGUCACCGUCACAAAGAACAAAUGUGCAAGUGGAGGCUUGGAUAAACUAAGAGAUGGUGCCGGGGGCACAGAUGAGAGUGACUGCCCCACAUGUGCUGCUUGGCCCCAGGAACAAGCUCAAUCCAUCCUAGGAUCAACACUAGGAGGGAGGUAUGAUUAUUAUAAUCACACUGCAAAUGAAGAACUUCACUGCCCAGAGGCCACAGGCUGCUCGGGACUGAGAGGACGCUUGCAUUCGGAUGCGGAGCCGGCUCUCCCAAAGGCUUAGUCUAGACCUCCCAAAGUGGAGGCUGAGUCAUGGAGGCACAGAUGGUCUGCUGCAGGCAGCCAAGGCACAGCACGCCUCACGACUCUGAAGCUCAGAGACGUCCCACAGCUCCUGAUCCACGUUGAAUGCUCCUGCGGGCAUUGGCUCUGUGGUCCUUGUGGCCUAUCCUGUGAAUGUCCUCUGAUGGUCCAAGAAAUGCAAGAAGCCAUUGGCAUGGGAGGGACUGUCUGUCGGUGACCCCCCAGGCGUGCUGAGAGCUCCUGAGCAGUCUCCAGGGUAAAAUCUCUGCAUCAAGCCCUUUUAUACUUGGGUUCUAGACUCUUCCCAAGUCCCAUUGGAAAAGACUGGAUGACAAAAUCACAAUGGAAGUGAACCUUUCUGGUUGUUUAGCUGGUAAGGGCACCACCUGCCAGCUGUUAGGACCUGGCAUGUACUGAGAGGGGCCGUCUAGUGGAAGUAGGGCCUAGUGCCAAUGGGUGGGAGUGGACACCCACCUGAGAUUCCAAGGGGUCAUGCUCCCCCUCUGGCUUCUCAGGCUUCACCCCAACAGCAGGAUGGUGGGGAGGAAAGGUCAGGCCCUUAGAUCCAGGUGAUGGGGAUUCAUCUGGGAGCUCUAUCUAGCCUGAGGUGUCAGCCACUGAGGACAUUGCUGUGCAGUCAGCAAGCUGCUCUGGUGCUGAGGCUGCUCGUCCAGGGCUUCCGUCUUUGAUGACCAGAGCCAUGUGAAUGUAGUGGAUGUAGUCAGCUGACAAAGUGAUGGGGGGCCUAGUGGGGAAGCGCACUGUCAGUGGUAUAGCCCGUCCUGAGGAAAGGCCUGGGGCCAGCGUGGGGCGUGGUGCAAGGGCAGCGAAGCAGGAGGUGGGAGAUAUGGUUCCUGGCCUCAGGGAGCUUCCUGAGCAGAACAGAGCCUGGGAGCGGGUCUGAUCGCCUUCUGCUGUGUUCCAAAGUCACGGUGGUGCCUGGUUGUGUAAACCUAUGUUAGGUGCCUACACACACUCUCGCUGAAUUUUAAUAACUGGUAAGCUGGGGGCUGUGGCCAUCCUCCCUCCACCCCCAUGAGCUGUGACAAAAUGAAGUCUGGGGCUAAACCACCUGCUACAGGCUACACAGCUGGUCUAUUGGGAAGCAAACAUGUGAGCCCAGGUGGCUUGGCUUAGAAAUUCACAUGUAAAACCUGUAAUGCCAUUCAGCCUCAGCUUCACCCUUAAUUCCAAUGAACCAUAAUCAAGAAAAAGUAGCUAUGAUGCUGAUAGCUAAUACUCCCAAGGGUUUACUAACUUCCAGGUGCUGUAGUGCUUUCUGUGCAUUUUCCAUGUAAACCCUGCAGCCAUCCUGUGGAAUUGACAUUCAUGGUAACCGGGGUUUAUAGAUGAGGAAAACAAAGCUCAGAGAGGUUAAGUGACUGUGCCCAGGUCACUCAGGGUGGAAGUAGUGGAGCUGGGAUUUGAACCAGGCAAUCACCAGGCCUCUAGGUGUAGCUUAUUCUCCAAAGUGGACUAAUCCCUCUGAGAUGUGCUCCAGGAAAAGAGCGUUCCAUGACCAUGCAAGUCUGCAACAACCCUGAGGGCUCCCUUCCCCUCCAGGAGACUCAAAAUGCUCCUUAGCAGGCAAGAGGCUCAAAGGAGACACACUUCCAGUUACAAGAUGAGCAGAGGCGAGGUGUGUGGGGGUGUCAUGCACAGCUGGUGCCUGCAGCUCCUGAUACUGUAUCCCACACUUGGGCACCCAAGUGCUGCUACCACAGUAGAUCUUAACUGGGACAUAUGGUAACUCUGUGGCGGGAUGGAGCUGGGGGCCCAUGCCAUGCUCUCUCUGGGUCUUGAUUCUCUUAUGUUAUCACUUCUCAAGUUAUUAUUUUGUUUUAAAAAGAAAAAAAAAUCUGAUUCUAUACUGGUUCUACCAAUAAAUCCACAGUAGACUGCAUUAUGUGGAAGAAUAGGUAAAUCAUUAAGUGUUUGCUAGUUGGAGAUUUUUAAACAUACCUUUUAGAUCCUGAGAGCUCAAAGAGACAAAAGUCACAUGUGCGCGGGGCGUUUUGAAUUACAUCCUAAUCUGCUACAUCCUAAUGCGUCUGCUAGACGCAUCCAGAACUUUACAUCCAACAAGCAGGGCAACAUUUUCUGAUGAUAUUUCCACAUUCUCUUCCCUUCCCAUCUAUUUCUGCUCGGCCCCCCGAACCCCAUCUUGUUCCUUUUUUAGACACGUCCUCCAUGUACUCUAUGAUUUUAGAAUUGCUUGGAGCUAAGCAAGGAAGAAUAGAGUGCCGGAUGGCAUUUGCACAUUACUUUCAGUUCGUGGCUCUGAAAAGGAGAGCCAGGUGAAGCACUGGUAGCUGCACUACCUUCUCAGGGGCGGGCUUGCAAAAUGGCAGGUCAAAAGCCCCUGGGGAAUGCAUGUGGGUAUAUGCUGGGAGUCUGUUCUGCCCAAAGGAAAUCGCUGGCAGGUAUUAAUUUGAGAGAGAAAAAAGGGCAAGUUUCAUAAAAGGAAGUCAUCGUGAGCAGGAAAGCAAGACUAAAGGGAGAAAAAUCACAGCAUGUUCUAAUUGCGAUGCAGAAACUUUAUAAACACAACUUACACGUGUAUCACUUAUAAUCACGGCCCUGGCCAGAGCAAUAAUUAUGAUAAAUCCUUUGUCAACCCUGCUUAGAAGUCCUUAUGAGGUAGUCGGAAAUUAGUCCACAUUCUAGACAACAGUUCAAUAAAAGUCCGAUCCAACCCAGCCUCUCCGCAUGUGGAAUUCCACACGGCCUGUAAUCAGAUGUUCACCAAAUCACACUUUCUCAUUGCCAAAUGCCUUGGCAGGUUCGCAUAAACAAGUCUUGAAUUCAUUAAGUUGCAUUUUUUAGCCUUCUAAUUAGCUAAAGUCGUACACUUCAAGCACAGCCCGUCAAGAGCUCGAUUUCAAGGUAUAAUGAUGUGGCAUGGAGGCCAAAGUCGUGGCUUUCUGUUGGAAAUGUUGGUUGGUGGCUCUGUGGUGAACUGACCUUGGACUGGCUUCGGUGGGCGACCUCAGAGAUAGGCAGAGAGA
RNA transcript from Canis lupus familiaris (dog), 3946 nucleotides. It is a transcript of the gene named forkhead box C2, with no coding region annotated. The record is from RefSeq and is a predicted model, not a curated record. The transcript has 5 exons. Lineage: Eukaryota; Metazoa; Chordata; Mammalia; Carnivora; Canidae.